AACGAACGCUGGCGGCAGGCCUAACACAUGCAAGUCGAGCGUGCCCUUCGGGGUGAGCGGCGGACGGGUGAGUAACGCGUGGGAACGUGCCCUUCUCUGCGGAAUAGCCUCGGGAAACUGAGAGUAAUACCGCAUACGCCCUUUGGGGGAAAGAUUUAUCGGAGAAGGAUCGGCCCGCGUUGGAUUAGGUAGUUGGUGGGGUAAUGGCCCACCAAGCCGACGAUCCAUAGCUGGUUUGAGAGGAUGAUCAGCCACACUGGGACUGAGACACGGCCCAGCCUCCUACGGGAGGCAGCAGUGGGGAAUCUUAGACAAUGGGGGCAACCCUGAUCUAGCCAUGCCGCGUGAGUGAUGAAGGCCUUAGGGUUGUAAAGCUCUUUCAGCUGGGAAGAUAAUGACGGUACCAGCAGAAGAAGCCCCGGCUAACUCCGUG
Molecule: ribosomal RNA, 433 nt
Filed under: uncultured bacterium
Lineage: Bacteria
Description: partial 16S ribosomal RNA
Rfam family: Bacterial small subunit ribosomal RNA
Source: RNAcentral